UACUAGAGUAGCACUCGCAUAUCAAUAAGCGGAGGAAAAGAAACUAACAAGGAUUCCCUUAGUAACGGCGAGUGAAGCGGGAAGAGCUCAAAUUUGAAAUCUUCAAGGUUCUACCUUGACGAAUUGUAGUUUAUAGAAGUGUUUUCUGUUAGUAGAGUGGCAAAAGUUCUUUGGAAUAGGACAUCAUAGAGGGUGAGAAUCCCGUAUUUGGUCAUUCUUUCUAGCUUUGUGAUACACUUUCAACGAGUCGGAUUGUUUGGGAAUGCAGUCCAAAAUGGGUGGUAAAUUUCAUCUAAAGCUAAAUAUUGGCGAGAGACCGAUAGCGAACAAGUACCGUGAGGGAAAGAUGAAAAGAACUUUGAAAAGAGAGUUAAACAGUACGUGAAAUUGUCAAAAGGGAAGCGUUUGACACCAGUGUUGUUUUUCCGAAAAUCAAUUACGAAUGUUUUGUUUUUAAGAAGUUAUGACUUCGAUCGGCUUGCUUCUCUCUUUACGAAACUUUCUUAAUGCACUUUUCGGUUAACAAGUCAACAUCAAUUUCUUUUGUUGUAAAAGGGUAUGAGGAAGGUGGCUUUCUUUUCGGAGAAAGUGUUUAUAGCCUUGUACCUCUGCAAUCGGAGAGAUUGAGGUCUGCAGCGUAGAUCCUUCGGGGUUAGAUACAUUUGUGCUAAGUUAUAGCUUUUCAUAGACAACUUGUUGACUAUGUUAAGUCUUGUAGCUUACUCGCUUAUGCUAUUUUACCUACGCUUAGGAUGUUGAAGAUGUAGCACAUCAU
This 775-nucleotide ribosomal RNA is filed under the name uncultured Neocallimastigales. RNAcentral's name for it is "partial large subunit ribosomal RNA". It matches the Rfam family "Eukaryotic large subunit ribosomal RNA", at positions 20 to 643 of the family's 3401-position model. Lineage: Eukaryota; Fungi; Neocallimastigomycota; Neocallimastigomycetes; Neocallimastigales. The record is from RNAcentral.